UAGAAGUAGGAAUCAAGGAAAUAGUAAACAACUUUGUUAUGGCUCCAAUCAACUCAAGGUUUUCGUGCUUGAUGAUGGCUCUUUUGCUGAUGUCAACCACUUGUUUGUCGAGUCAAGUAUCAGAGACAGAGAGCAUAGGUAUUUUUCUUUCUACUAGUAGAAUCUUGUCCUUUUGCACGAUUCUCCUGUCACAAUGAUAAGGGUGGUAAUAAUAUUUUUACCAAUUUAUAUCCAAGUCAAUUUGAAUAUUUGAUGGUCACUUGUGAAUCACAGAGAAAUCAAAACCUAUUUCAUGGCCCGGAUAUUUUUCUCAUCGUCCAUGCUUUCGUUCAAUGGGCCAUUUGGCUGCCUUCAGUUGUCUUCAAAGUUGAUAUGCAAACAUAAACUGCUUGCUCAAGCUAUACAAUUUAAAUUUUAACAACGGCAUGGACGAUAACAGUUGUUUUUGCCUAUGUUUUUGAGAUUUGCACCCAUUUCCUACCGUAGUACACAUCUUAAAUAAAUGGUUNNNNNNNNNNGAGGGAGUAAUAUAUAGUAUCCGAUUUUAAUUACAAACUGCUCUUUGUUCUGAUGCACUUGUUUUUUUACUGUCAUAGAUAUGAAAGCCAACGCAUGCGCGGGCCGUGAACCUUACCAGUUCAAUUGUACACCUGGAGGCUGUGUUACUGCCUGCAAAAAACUGGGCUGCGGAACUGGGGUUUGCCAUUCA
Molecule: long non-coding RNA, 709 nt
Filed under: Hordeum vulgare
Lineage: Eukaryota; Viridiplantae; Streptophyta; Magnoliopsida; Poales; Poaceae
Description: long non-coding RNA (HVUL_LNC001637)
Source: RNAcentral